Molecule: long non-coding RNA, 530 nt
Organism: Vidua macroura (Pin-tailed whydah)
Lineage: Eukaryota; Metazoa; Chordata; Aves; Passeriformes; Viduidae
Exons: 3
Source: RefSeq, a predicted model, not a curated record
GGAACAGCAUUCAAGGCACACUGGCACUUCUUUUUCACACCUGCAGAGAAGCUGCUGUGUCUGCAAUCUCAUUUGCUUUUUCCAGUCUCAGGCAUACAGCAUAAUUAAAAAAAAAAAAAAAUUAUUAUAUGUAAAAUUUAAUUUAUGUUUGGAAGUCUGGAACAGGCUUCAAAACUGAACGGAUUCUAUGAACACUGCACCCCUCUCUGGAAUAGCCGCUGUUCUGAAGGAGUAAAGCAACGAUGCAGACUGGUUACUGCCGUCAGCAGAGAAUACCAGAACUGUUAAUGACAAAGAGGAGCAAGAAACUCAUUCUUCAGCUUUUCUUCUUUCCAGCAAGUUCAGUCAGAGCAAAUUCUUUGGCAAAAAAAGAUCCAAGAGUAACAUACAGCAACUGGACUCUGUACAAGAAAUCUAUUAUACUGCCUGCUCUCAAGUUGAGUAUAUUGCUGAUUUCAGAAAUAUCAGAAUGCCUAACUCUGGAUGCCUCAGGAAUAAACAAGAAUAAAUUUGUAUUCUACUAUGCUUGA